UCCUACGGGAGGCAGCAGUAGGGAAUCUUCCGCAAUGGACGAAAGUCUGACGGAGCAACACAGCGUGAGUGAUGAAGGUUUUCGGAUCGUAAAACUCUGUUAUUAGGGAAGAACAAAUGUGUAAGUAACUGUGCACAUCUUGACGGUACCUAAUCAGAAAGCCACGGCUAACUACGUGCCAGCAGCCGCGGUAAUA
RNAcentral lists this ribosomal RNA (196 nucleotides) under uncultured Staphylococcus sp. Its description in RNAcentral is "partial 16S ribosomal RNA". It matches the Rfam family "Bacterial small subunit ribosomal RNA", at positions 337 to 525 of the family's 1533-position model. Lineage: Bacteria; Bacillati; Bacillota; Bacilli; Caryophanales; Staphylococcaceae. The record is from RNAcentral.